RNAcentral lists this ribosomal RNA (476 nucleotides) under Streptococcus sp. oral taxon 071. Its description in RNAcentral is "bacterial SSU rRNA". It matches the Rfam family "Bacterial small subunit ribosomal RNA", at positions 28 to 488 of the family's 1533-position model. The record is from RNAcentral. Lineage: Bacteria; Bacillati; Bacillota; Bacilli; Lactobacillales; Streptococcaceae.
GACGAACGCUGGCGGCGUGCCUAAUACAUGCAAGUAGAACGCUGAAGAGAGGAGCUUGCUCUUCUUGGAUGAGUUGCGAACGGGUGAGUAACGCGUAGGUAACCUGCCUGGUAGCGGGGGAUAACUAUUGGAAACGAUAGCUAAUACCGCAUAAAAUUGAUUAUCGCAUGAUAAUCAAUUGAAAGGUGCAAAUGCAUCACUACCAGAUGGACCUGCGUUGUAUUAGCUAGUUGGUGGGGUAACGGCUCACCAAGGCGACGAUACAUAGCCGACCUGAGAGGGUGAUCGGCCACACUGGGACUGAGACACGGCCCAGACUCCUACGGGAGGCAGCAGUAGGGAAUCUUCGGCAAUGGACGGAAGUCUGACCGAGCAACGCCGCGUGAGUGAAGAAGGUUUUCGGAUCGUAAAGCUCUGUUGUAAGAGAAGAACGAGUGUGAGAGUGGAAAGUUCACACUGUGACGUAUCUACCAGAA